This 467-nucleotide ribosomal RNA is filed under the name uncultured bacterium. RNAcentral describes it as "partial 16S ribosomal RNA". It matches the Rfam family "Bacterial small subunit ribosomal RNA", at positions 28 to 507 of the family's 1533-position model. The record is from RNAcentral.
GAUGAACGCUGGCGGCGUGCUUAACACAUGCAAGUCGAACGGAAAGGCCUCUUUCGUGGGGUACUCGAGUUACGAACGGGUGAGUAACACGUGAGUAGCUUGCCCUUGACUUUGGGAUAACUUCAGGAAACUGGGGCUAAUACCGAAUAGGAGCUCCUGCUGCAUGGUGGGUGUUGGAAAGUUUCGGCGGUUAGGGGUGGACUCGCGGCGUAUCAGCUUGUUGUUGGGGUAGUGGCUUACCAAGGCUUUGACGGGUAGCCGGCCAGAGAGGGUGACAGGCGGCCUUGGGUCUGAGGGGCGGCACAGGCAGCUACGGGAGGGAGAAGGGGGGAAUCUUGACGGAGGGGCGGAGGGCGGGUGAAGAAAGGCUGCGUGUGGGAUGACGGCGUUAGGGUUGUAAAACGUUUUCGCUAAUGACGAAGCUUUGUGUGGCGGUAGUGGGUAAAGAAGCACCGGCUAACUACGUG